GAAGCCAGUACUCUCACUUAGCAGCUACCUCAUUUCUGGGCCGAGAUGUUUCAUUUCAUCAGACGGAUUUCUCCACAGCUGAACAAGCACAAACAACAUGGUCAGAAGAAGAAAAGGCUCAUUACAAUCACAAUAUAUGCCAUGCAUAAACCCUAAUUUACAACUGCGGGGGAACACUGCAUUCUGGAUUACCUGUCAGUUGUAGACAGCAGCUAUCACUUCAGAGUUACAACAAAGGAGAAAUGGAAGGCUUCUCUGCUCCCAGGAUGAUCUACCAUACAGACACAGAAUACUACCUGUGACCAGUAGACUCUUCUGAGUACUGUCUUAGGUGUUAGAGAUUUUAAUUUGAAGUGGGGUUCACGAUAGCAUUUUUAAGAAGCUAAAUCCAGGGUGCUUACUGGGACUAGCCUGGGUGCUUCCUGCUUGCACUGGUUGGGUCCAGAUGUGAGCAUUCUGCUCAGUUUGAUCCUGGUUGGCACAUGGAGAGAGUUAUGGAUCUCUGGGGCCCAGAGGAAAUGGCUGGACAGAGAACUUCCCGGGACUGCUGCAUCGGCUGUAGACAUUCAGCUAACUGUGCAUUUUCUGGGAUUCAGAAGGGCCAUCUGCUACCCACACAGUCAAGAGGAAAGCCACACAAAAAAAGAAGGAAAAAAUGGUCUCAUGGUACAGUUAAAACCAGAGAGGGAUACCUGGGGGACAGAAUGCAGCGGUGCUCCCCUGCACCUGCUCUCUGCCCAAGGGACAGACUGAGGAGUGGCUGCUGUCCUGUGCUGCACUGGGCUGCAAACCACGCAGCAGGUAAAAA
Molecule: long non-coding RNA, 808 nt
Organism: Lepidothrix coronata (blue-crowned manakin)
Lineage: Eukaryota; Metazoa; Chordata; Aves; Passeriformes; Pipridae
Exons: 5
Source: RefSeq, a predicted model, not a curated record